Molecule: transfer RNA, 76 nt
Filed under: Planctomycetales bacterium 12-60-4
Lineage: Bacteria; Pseudomonadati; Planctomycetota; Planctomycetia; Planctomycetales
Also listed under: 6 other names
Description: tRNA-Lys
Rfam family: tRNA
About the family: Transfer RNA (tRNA) molecules are approximately 80 nucleotides in length.
Source: RNAcentral
GAGUCGGUAGCUCAGUUGGUAGAGCAUCGCACUUUUAAUGCGGUGGUCCCGGGUUCGAGCCCCGGCCGACUCACCA